Molecule: ribosomal RNA, 440 nt
Filed under: uncultured bacterium
Lineage: Bacteria
Description: partial 16S ribosomal RNA
Rfam family: Bacterial small subunit ribosomal RNA
Source: RNAcentral
CCUACGGGUGGCAGCAGUGGGGAAUAUUGCUCAAUGGGGGAAACCCUGAAGCAGCAACGCCGCGUGAAGGAUGAAGGUUUUAGGAUUUUAAACUCCUUUUGGUAGGGAAGAUAAUGACGGUAUCUGACGUAUAAGCACCGGCUAACUACGUGCCAGCAGCCGCGGUAAUACGGAGGGUGCAAGCGUUAGUCGGAAUCACUGGGUGUAAAGAGCGCGUAGGCGGUAUAGCAAGUCAGAAGUGAAAACCUAUGGCUUAACCCUAGAACUGCAUUUGAAACUGUUAUGCUAGAGUUUGGGAGAGGUAUGUGGAAUUCGUGGUGUAGGGGUGAAAUGCGUAGAGAUCAAGAGGAACACUGAUUGCGAAGGCGGCAUACGGGAACGUAACUGACGCUGAUGCGCGAAAGCGUGGGGAGCAAACAGGAUUAGAUACCCUUGUAGUC